RNAcentral lists this ribosomal RNA (465 nucleotides) under uncultured bacterium. RNAcentral's name for it is "partial 16S ribosomal RNA". It matches the Rfam family "Bacterial small subunit ribosomal RNA", at positions 29 to 507 of the family's 1533-position model. The record is from RNAcentral.
AAUGAACGUUGGCGGCGUGGAUUAGGCAUGCAAGUCGAGCGAGAACCCCGCAAGGGGGGACAGCGGCGAAAGGGACAGUAAUGUGUAGAUUAUCUGCCCUCAGGUCCGGGAUAGCUGCGGGAAACUGCAGGUAAUACCGGAUAACAUCUCCGGAUCAAAGGUGUGAUUCCGCCUGAGGAUGAGUCUGCAUCCUAUUAGCUAGUUGGUGGGGUAAUGGCCUACCAAGGCAUUGAUGGGUAGCAGGUGUGAGAGCACGACCUGCGUCAUUGGGACUGAGACACUGCCCAGACACCUACGGGUGGCUGCAGGCGAGAAUCUUCGGCAAUGGGCGCAAGCCUGACCGAGCGACGCCGCGUGUGGGAUGAAGGCCUUCGGGUUGUAAACCACUGUCAGAGGGGAUGAAAUGCAGGUGGGUUCUCCCAUCUGUUUGACAUAGCCUCAGAGGAAGAACGGGCUAAGUUCGUG